GUGAGUAAAAGCAAGGAGAGCCAAAGGCUUUCCGCCUCUUCUGCCAGCUACAGCUGAAUGAUUCCUUGGAGACAUGCCUGGAAGUAGCAAUCUAAGAAAUCUCUUCUGAACCACCGGAUGAUUCCCAUCCAGGAGCAGAGCUGCCUCUGGUGUGCAAGCCUGGCCAGAUGCUCUGAACUGAGAAGCUGUCUGUACCAUGCCCUUCUGCCAUGAAGUUCCUGCCUUCGAGCCCAGUGACUGAGUCUCCUGAAACUUUUCACUUUUCACAGGAGGACAACAGUGGAGGGACAUUUGUUCAUGGGCCCUCAUGUGGAG
Molecule: long non-coding RNA, 315 nt
Organism: Fukomys damarensis (Damara mole-rat)
Lineage: Eukaryota; Metazoa; Chordata; Mammalia; Rodentia; Bathyergidae
Exons: 4
Source: RefSeq, a predicted model, not a curated record